Molecule: long non-coding RNA, 435 nt
Filed under: Corvus moneduloides (New Caledonian crow)
Lineage: Eukaryota; Metazoa; Chordata; Aves; Passeriformes; Corvidae
Description: lncRNA (ENSCMUG00000016867.1)
Source: RNAcentral
AACUCAUGGAAAACCUCUUGUUUUGCUCUGCUAUUGUUUCCAACUUGAACACCAUGAAUGUGCAGAAAUAGUGGUUUCCCUAGCAAGUGACUAUGAUGAGCUUGGAACUGUGUGAACAGCAGCGAUAAACAGUUGUUGACUUCUCUGAGGCUUUUUUUUUGUGUCAGAAUUGAGAUGUACCCCACAGUAUAGCUCCAAGGUUUUGUUCCAAAGGAAAAAAAAAGCUGAGACAGUACUGCAUUUUUAAUGGCUGAGUCAUCUGCCUCUGUCCCAACAGCAGAAUCUCAUUUUAGGACUCCUCUGAAAUUCAAGUUUGUUUCCACUGUUUACAUGCUCCUAUGUAAAUAUGUAGAUAAGGGAAGAUCAGAGGAUUUUGCCUUGCACUGGAAGCAGAAGAUACAAAGGUCUGCCAAAGGCUCAUUAAUCCACAACUGA